AACGAACGCUGGCGGCGUGCUUAACACAUGCAAGUCGAACGCGAAAGGGACUUCGGCCCUGAGUAAAGUGGCGCACGGGUGAGUAACGCGUAGAUAACCUGUCUUCAUGUCUGGAAUAAUACGCCGAAAGGGGUACUAAUACCGGAUACUCUCGCUUUUCAUAAGUUAUGCAAGCAAAGGUGGCCUCUGCAUAUGCUACUGCAUGAAGAGGGGUCUGCGUACCAUUAGCUAGUAGGUGGGGUAAUGGCCUACCUAGGCGACGAUGGUUAGCGGGUCUGAGAGGAUGAUCCGCCACACUGGCACUGGAACACGGGCCAGACUCCUACGGGAGGCAGCAGUGAGGAAUAUUGCGCAAUGGGGGAAACCCUGACGCAGCGACGCCGCGUGAGUGAAGGAAGGCCUUCGGGUCGUAAAGCUCUGUCAAGAGGAAAGAAGUGUACAAUGGCUAAUACCUGUUGUAUUUGACGGUACCUCUAAAGGAAGCACCGGCUAACUCCGUGCCAGCCGCUGC
This 511-nucleotide ribosomal RNA is filed under the name uncultured bacterium. Its description in RNAcentral is "bacterial SSU rRNA". It matches the Rfam family "Bacterial small subunit ribosomal RNA", at positions 29 to 518 of the family's 1533-position model. The record is from RNAcentral.